GCCGCCGUGGCUCAAGUGGUAGAGCAGCUGACUUGUAAUCAGCAGGUUGCGGGUUCGAUUCCUGCUGGCGGCU
This 73-nucleotide transfer RNA is filed under the name Caudoviricetes sp. RNAcentral describes it as "tRNA-Thr". It matches the Rfam family "tRNA". From Rfam's summary of the family: Transfer RNA (tRNA) molecules are approximately 80 nucleotides in length. Their secondary structure includes four short double-helical elements and three loops (D, anti-codon, and T loops). The record is from RNAcentral. Lineage: Duplodnaviria; Heunggongvirae; Uroviricota; Caudoviricetes.